Molecule: microRNA, 23 nt
Filed under: Bos taurus (domestic cattle)
Lineage: Eukaryota; Metazoa; Chordata; Mammalia; Artiodactyla; Bovidae
Description: bta-miR-10161-5p
Source: miRBase by way of RNAcentral
GUGGAGUCAGACAUACUGAGUGA